RNAcentral lists this ribosomal RNA (258 nucleotides) under uncultured archaeon. RNAcentral describes it as "partial 16S ribosomal RNA". It matches the Rfam family "Archaeal small subunit ribosomal RNA", at positions 725 to 982 of the family's 1478-position model. The record is from RNAcentral.
CUGACAUUAGAUACCCGCGUAGUCCAGGGUGUAAACGCUGCAGACUUGGUGUUGGGAACCCUUCGGGGGUGCUCAGUGCCGGAGAGAAGUUGUUAAGUCUGCUACUUGGGGAGUACGUCCGCAAGGAUGAAACUUAAAGGAAUUGGCGGGGGAGCACCGCAACGGGAGGAGCGUGCGGUUUAAUUGGAUUCAACGCCGAAAACUCACCAGCAGCGACUGUUACAUGAAAGUCAGGUUGAUGACCUUACUAGAUUUCAG